Spinacia oleracea (spinach) is the source of this 731-nucleotide long non-coding RNA. RefSeq lists it as uncharacterized. Lineage: Eukaryota; Viridiplantae; Streptophyta; Magnoliopsida; Caryophyllales; Amaranthaceae. The transcript is spliced from 2 exons. The record is from RefSeq and is a predicted model, not a curated record.
CUUAUCUCUCUUGUGUAUUCACAACACGUUAUCAACACCAUUGUCAAUUCAUUGUCGGGAAAAUAAAGCAAAUUUUCUUCGACGGAAUAAAGUGGAAAUAGCAUGAAACGCCAUUGCAAUUGAAUCACAUCCAACUAGUUAUGCUCCAUUCCCUGAAGCGAAUGCGACAUCCCAUAAUGGGAAAGACAAAUACCACACCAACAAUAGUGGUAGAGGACAUGGUCACGAAAGUGGUCAUGGACGUGGACGUGGAUACGUGUAUGGUCGUGGCCGAGGUGGUUCAUUCAAGAACGCGUAUUCCCACCAGAAGUGGGACAAUAAAGAUGGUAACAAACAAGAAAAAGAUAGAAAUGAGAAUGUGACCAAUGUAUGUUACCGUUGUGGAGGAAAAGGUCAUUGGUCUCGUACAUGUCGUACACCAAAACACUUGGUUGAGCUCUAUCAACAAUCAUUGAAGCAAAAGGAAAAGAAAUUUGAAACAAAUCUUGUGUACGAAGAUGGCGAAGGUGACUUUGAUUGUGGCAAUACAACACACAUGGAAGUUGUUAAUUUCUUCACUACCUCUGAAGGGAAUAAUUAGUUCCUAGAUUCGAUUAUGGUCAUUUAAAGAAUAAAACUUUGUUUCCUUGGAUUCAUGUUAUUUUAUUUUGAAUUUUACUUGUUUAAACUAUGAUUUCAUAUGACAUUGUUAAAUUUUGAUUAUUAAGUUAUUCUUAUUGUUAUUUCAUUUA